This 440-nucleotide ribosomal RNA is filed under the name uncultured bacterium. Its description in RNAcentral is "partial 16S ribosomal RNA". It matches the Rfam family "Bacterial small subunit ribosomal RNA", at positions 338 to 795 of the family's 1533-position model. The record is from RNAcentral.
CCUACGGGUGGCAGCAGUGGGGAAUAUUGCACAAUGGGGGAAACCCUGAUGCAGCGACGCCGCGUGAGUGAAGAAGUAACUCGGUAUGUAAAGCUCUAUCAGCAGGGAAGAAAAUGACGGUACCUGACUAAGAAGCCCCGGCUAACUACGUGCCAGCAGCCGCGGUAAUACGUAGGGGGCAAGCGUUAUCCGGAUUUACUGGGUGUAAAGGGAGCGUAGACGGCCAGACAAGUCAGGAGUGAAAACCCAGGGCUCAACCCUGGGACUGCUUUUGAAACUGGCGGGCUGGAGUGCAGGAGGGGGUAGCGGAAUUCCGAGUGGAGCGGUGAAAUGGGUAGAUAUUAAGGGGAACACCAGGGGCGAAGGCGGCUUACUGGACUUUAACUGACGUUGGGGCUCGAAAGGGUGGGGAGCAAACAGGAUUAGAUACCCCGGUAGUC